Long non-coding RNA from Cryptomeria japonica (Japanese cedar), 548 nucleotides. RefSeq lists it as uncharacterized. Lineage: Eukaryota; Viridiplantae; Streptophyta; Pinopsida; Cupressales; Cupressaceae. The record is from RefSeq and is a predicted model, not a curated record. The transcript has 4 exons.
CGAGGAGGAGUUGAGACAGAUUCAGGAGGGCACCUUGUCGGCCAUUUCAUUUGGCCUUGAUAGCUUGACGAUACAUAUAUUAUUGCACCUAGUCGUUUGUAUUUUAUUGUACAUACAUGCUUAUCAUUUAUAUUGGUAUUAAUUAGAUUAUGUAGUAACUUGCAUGUAUAUCUUAUUUUACUCUUGUAGGGCACAAGCAACACGAGUGCGGGGCAGUGUGAUUUAGGAUCUGGCAGUGCAGUUGGAGACAAGGGAAAGAGAAUUCUUGGCUUCACAUCCUUGAUGACUACACCCAGUAUACCUCAAGAUGAAGAACAAGAAGAGAUGCCUCGAGUAGAUGUUGUGUAUGAAAAUAUUGAAAACAUACCUCCUCUACCGAAGACAUACAUCAAGAGUCCUACAAAGCCGAAGAGAAAACGUGGAGAUGAGAGCCGAGCAGUGCAGCGAAGAGGAUUGAUUUUGAUGAUCCAUCAACAACUUAGGAUGUUAUAGAUAGUUUUGGGAUGCUUACAUGUCUAGUUGGCAUGCAUAUUUUGUAUAUGGACAUA